AGAGUUUGAUCAUGGCUCAGAACGAACGCUGGCGGCGUGGCUAAGACAUGCAAGUCGAACGGACUGCUCAAUUUAUUGGACAGUUAGUGGCGAAAGGGUUAGUAACGGGUAGGUAACGUACCCUGUGCUUUGGGAUAGCGUCUGUUGCUUUUAGCAACUUCCGAAAGGGGCGGUAAUACCAAAUAAUAUCAUUUGUCUAUAGGCGGAUGAUCAAAGAUUUGUCGGCGCAGGAGCGGCCUGCCUCCUAUCAGCUUGUUGGUGAGGUAAUGGCUCACCAAGGCAGCGACGGGUAGCGGGACUGAGAGGUUGGCCCGCAACAUCGGGACUGAGACACUGCCCGGACCUCCACGGAGGGCUGCAGUAACGAAUAUUGCGCAAUGGGCGAAAGCCUGACGCAGCGACGCCGCGUGUAGGAGGAAGUCCCUCGGGAUGUAAACUACUGUCAGGGGGAAGAAAGUCCCGACACGUCGGGAUUGAUCUAACCCAAAGGAAGUCACGGCUAACUUCGUGCCAGCAGCCGCGGUAAGACGAAGGUGGCAAGCGUUGUUCGGUAUCACUGGGCUUAAAGCGUGUGUAGGCGGAAAAGUAAGCGUUUCGUGAAAGCCCCCGGCUUAACCGGGGAAUUGCGCAACGAACUGCAUUUCUUGAGGCAAGUAGGGGUGCAUGGAACUCUUGGUGGAGCGGUGGAAUGCGUAGAUAUCAAGAGGAACGCCAGUGGAGAAAUCGGUGCACUGGGCUUGUCCUGACGCUGAGACACGAAAGCGUGGGUAGCGAAUGGGAUUAGAUACCCCGGUAGUCCACGCCGUAAACGAUGCCUACUAGUUGUGAAAGUUCUGACACUGGCACAGCCGAAGCAAAAGUGCUAAGUAGCCGCCUGGGGGAGUACGGUCGCAAGGCUAAAACUCAAAUGAAUUGACGG
RNAcentral lists this ribosomal RNA (919 nucleotides) under uncultured bacterium. RNAcentral's name for it is "bacterial SSU rRNA". It matches the Rfam family "Bacterial small subunit ribosomal RNA", at positions 8 to 916 of the family's 1533-position model. The record is from RNAcentral.